This 482-nucleotide ribosomal RNA is filed under the name uncultured bacterium. RNAcentral's name for it is "partial 16S ribosomal RNA". It matches the Rfam family "Bacterial small subunit ribosomal RNA", at positions 30 to 507 of the family's 1533-position model. The record is from RNAcentral.
AUUGAACGCUGGCGGCAGGCCUAACACAUGCAAGUCGAGCGGAUGAAGGGAGCUUGCUCCUGGAUUCAGCGGCGGACGGGUGAGUAAUGCCUAGGAAUCUGCCUGGUAGUGGGGGAUAACGUCCGGAAACGGGCGCUAAUACCGCAUACGUCCUGAGGGAGAAAGUGGGGGAUCUUCGGACCUCACGCUAUCAGAUGAGCCUAGGUCGGAUUAGCUAGUUGGUGGGGUAAAGGCCUACCAAGGCGACGAUCCGUAACUGGUCUGAGAGGAUGAUCAGUCACAGUGAAACUGAGACACGGUCCAGACUUAUAGGGGGGGGAGGUGUGGAGAAUAGUGGAAGGUGGGCGAAAGCCUGAUACAGCCAUGCCGCGUGUGAAGAAGGUCUCCGGAUUGUAAAGCACUUUAAGUUGGGAGGAAGGGCAGUAAGUUAAUACCUUGCUGUUUUGACGUUACCAACAGAAUAAGCACCGGCUAACUUCGUG